GACGAACGCUGGCGGCGUGCCUAAUACAUGCAAGUCGAGCGGACGGAUGGGAGCUUGCUCCCAGACCGUCAGCGGCGGACGGGUGAGUAACACGUGGGCAACCUGCCUGUAAGACUGGGAUAACUCCGGGAAACCGGGGCUAAUACCGGAUAACUCUUUCCCUCACAUGAGGGAAAGCUGAAAGAUGACAUCUCGCUAUCACUUACAGAUGGGCCCGCGGCGCAUUAGCUAGUUGGUGAGGUAACGGCUCACCAAGGCGACGAUGCGUAGCCGACCUGAGAGGGUGAUCGGCCACACUGGGACUGAGACACGGCCCAGACUCCUACGGGAGGCAGCAGUAGGGAAUCUUCCGCAAUGGACGAAAGUCUGACGGAGCAACGCCGCGUGAGUGAUGAAGGUUUUCGGAUCGUAAAACUCUGUUGUCAGGGAAGAACAAGUACCGGAGUAACUGCCGGUACCUUGACGGUACCUGACCAGAAAGCCACGGCUAACUACGUG
This 498-nucleotide ribosomal RNA is filed under the name uncultured bacterium. RNAcentral's name for it is "partial 16S ribosomal RNA". It matches the Rfam family "Bacterial small subunit ribosomal RNA", at positions 28 to 507 of the family's 1533-position model. The record is from RNAcentral.